GAUGAACGCUAGCUACAGGCUUAACACAUGCAAGUCGAGGGGUAGCAGGGUAGCAAUACCGCUGACGACCGGCGCACGGGUGAGUAACACGUAUCCAACCUUCCCAUAACUCGGGGAUAGCCUUUCGAAAGAAAGAUUAAUACCCGAUAGUACUUUUUCAAGGCAUCUUGAGAAAGUUAAAGAUUUAUUGGUUAUGGAUGGGGAUGCGUUCCAUUAGAUAGUUGGUGAGGUAACGGCUCACCAAGUCUUCGAUGGAUAGGGGUUCUGAGAGGCAGGUCCCCCACAUUGGUACUGAGACACGGACCAAAAUCCUACGGGAGGCAGCAGUGAGGAAUAUUGGUCAAUGGGCGAGAGCCUGAACCAGCCAAGUAGCGUGAAGGAUGAAGGUCCUAUGGAUUGUAAACUUCUUUUAUAGUAGAAUAAAGUGACCUACGUGUAGGUUUUUGUAUGUAUACUAUGAAUAAGGAUCGGCUAACUCCGUGCCAGCAGCCGCAGUAA
RNAcentral lists this ribosomal RNA (498 nucleotides) under uncultured bacterium. RNAcentral's name for it is "partial 16S ribosomal RNA". It matches the Rfam family "Bacterial small subunit ribosomal RNA", at positions 28 to 523 of the family's 1533-position model. The record is from RNAcentral.